RNAcentral lists this ribosomal RNA (254 nucleotides) under uncultured bacterium. Its description in RNAcentral is "partial 16S ribosomal RNA". It matches the Rfam family "Bacterial small subunit ribosomal RNA", at positions 524 to 776 of the family's 1533-position model. The record is from RNAcentral.
UACAGAGGUCCCGAGCGUUGUUCGGAUUCAUUGGGCGUAAAGGGUGCGUAGGCGGCUUCCUAAGUUUGAUGUGAAAUCCUGGGGCUCAACCCUGGAACUGCAUUGAAUACUGGGAGGCUAGAGUACUGGAGAGGAAACUGGAAUUUACGGUGUAGCAGUGAAAUGCGUAGAGAUCGUAAGGAAGACCAGUGGCGAAGGCGAGUUUCUGGACAGUUACUGACGCUGAGGCACGAAGGCCAGGGGGAGCAAACGGG